GGCUUCUUGCAAAUCAGUGGAAUAGAGGCUGGGGUGAUGAUGGUUACUUCAAGAUUAGACGGGGGACGAAUGAAUGUGGGAUUGAAGAAGACCCUGUUGCGGGUUUGCCUUCGAGCAAAAACUUAAUUCGAAGCUAUGCUGGCAUGGAGGGAACCAGUGACACCGCACUAUGAUCUCACACCAUCCUAUAUAAAGAUAAUUAUAUUUAUGUUGUGAAGAUAUCGUCUUAGGGGACCUUCAUCCUUAGUUAUGUACCUGAUGAUUUCCUUGUUGCAUAUGUAAGA
RNAcentral lists this unclassified non-coding RNA (284 nucleotides) under Hevea brasiliensis (rubber tree). Lineage: Eukaryota; Viridiplantae; Streptophyta; Magnoliopsida; Malpighiales; Euphorbiaceae. The record is from RNAcentral.